Molecule: ribosomal RNA, 250 nt
Filed under: Klebsiella pneumoniae
Lineage: Bacteria; Pseudomonadati; Pseudomonadota; Gammaproteobacteria; Enterobacterales; Enterobacteriaceae
Description: partial 23S ribosomal RNA
Rfam family: Bacterial large subunit ribosomal RNA
Source: RNAcentral
GCUGGAGGUAUCAGAAGUGCGAAUGCUGACAUAAGUAACGAUAAAGCGGGUGAAAAGCCCGCUCGCCGGAAGACCAAGGGUUCCUGUCCAACGUUAAUCGGGGCAGGGUGAGUCGACCCCUAAGGCGAGGCCGAAAGGCGUAGUCGAUGGGAAACAGGUUAAUAUUCCUGUACUUGGUGUUACUGCGAAGGGGGGACGGAGAAGGCUAUGUUAGCCGGGCGACGGUUGUCCCGGUUUAAGCAUGUAGGCU